This 284-nucleotide ribosomal RNA is filed under the name uncultured Pseudomonas sp. Its description in RNAcentral is "partial 16S ribosomal RNA". It matches the Rfam family "Bacterial small subunit ribosomal RNA", at positions 1099 to 1382 of the family's 1533-position model. Lineage: Bacteria; Pseudomonadati; Pseudomonadota; Gammaproteobacteria; Pseudomonadales; Pseudomonadaceae. The record is from RNAcentral.
CAACCCUUGUCCUUAGUUACCAGCACGUAUGGUGGGCACUCUAAGGAGACUGCCGGUGACAAACCGGAGGAAAGGUGGGGAUGACGUCAAGUCAUCAUGGCCCUUACGGCCUGGGCUACACACGUGCUACAAUGGUCGGUACAAAGGGUUGCCAAGCCGCGAGGUGGAGCUAAUCCCAUAAAACCGAUCGUAGUCCGGAUCGCAGUCUGCAACUCGACUGCGUGAAGUCGGAAUCGCUAGUAAUCGUGAAUCAGAAUGUCACGGUGAAUACGUUCCCGGGCCUU